This 468-nucleotide ribosomal RNA is filed under the name uncultured bacterium. RNAcentral's name for it is "partial 16S ribosomal RNA". It matches the Rfam family "Bacterial small subunit ribosomal RNA", at positions 28 to 507 of the family's 1533-position model. The record is from RNAcentral.
GACGAACGCUGGCGGCGUGCUUAACACAUGCAAGUCGAACGGAAAGGCCCUGCUUUUGUGGGGUGCUCGAGUGGCGAACGGGUGAGUAACACGUGAGUAACCUGCCCUUGACUUUGGGAUAACUUCAGGAAACUGGGGCUAAUACCGGAUAGGAGCUCCUGCUGCAUGGUGGGGGUUGGAAAGUUUCGGCGGUUGGGGAUGGACUCGCGGCUUAUCAGCUUGUUGGUGGGGUAGUGGCUUACCAAGGCUUUGACGGGUAGCCGGCCUGAGAGGGUGACCGGCCACAUUGGGACUGAGAUACGGCCCAGACUCCUACGGGAGGCAGCAGGGGGGAAUAUUGCACAAGGGGCGGAAGCCUGAUGCAGCAACGCCGCGUGCGGGAUGACGGCCUUCGGGUUGUAAACCGCUUUCGCCUGUGACGAAGCGUGAGUGACGGUAAUGGGUAAAGAAGCACCGGCUAACUACGUG